GAUGAAGAACGCAGCGAAAUGCGAUAAGUAAUGUGAAUUGCAGAAUUCAGUGAAUCAUCGAAUCUUUGAACGCACAUUGCGCCCGCCAGUAUUCUGGCGGGCAUGCCUGUCUGAGCGUCAUUUCAACCCUCAUGCCCCUAGGGCGUGGUGUUGGGGAUCGGCCAAAGCCCGCGAGGGACGGCCGGCCCCUUAAUCUAGUGGCGGACCCGUCGUGGCCUCCUCUGCGAAGUAGUGAUAUUCCGCAUCGGAGAGCGACGAGCCCCUGCCGUUAAACCCCCAACUUUCCAAGGUUGACCUCAGAUCAGGUAGGAAUACCCGCUGAACUUAAGCAUAUCAAUAAGCGGAGGA
RNAcentral lists this unclassified non-coding RNA (348 nucleotides) under soil metagenome. Its description in RNAcentral is "partial contains 5.8S ribosomal RNA, internal transcribed spacer 2, and large subunit ribosomal RNA". The stretch from base 1 to 120 matches the Rfam family "5.8S ribosomal RNA", at positions 35 to 154 of the family's 154-position model. The record is from RNAcentral.